AAAUCAGGUGGGACUACCCGCUGAACUUAAGCAUAUCAAUAAGCGGAGGAAAAGAAAAUAACUAUGAUUCCCUUAGUAACGGCGAGUGAACAGGGAAAAGCCCAAAUUUGUAAUC
This 115-nucleotide ribosomal RNA is filed under the name uncultured Melampsora. Its description in RNAcentral is "partial 28S ribosomal RNA". It matches the Rfam family "Eukaryotic large subunit ribosomal RNA", at positions 8 to 122 of the family's 3401-position model. Lineage: Eukaryota; Fungi; Basidiomycota; Pucciniomycetes; Pucciniales; Melampsoraceae. The record is from RNAcentral.